RNAcentral lists this ribosomal RNA (207 nucleotides) under uncultured bacterium. RNAcentral's name for it is "partial 16S ribosomal RNA". It matches the Rfam family "Bacterial small subunit ribosomal RNA", at positions 568 to 774 of the family's 1533-position model. The record is from RNAcentral.
AGCGUAGGCGGAUUUUUAAGUGAGAUGUGAAAUACUCGGGCUUAACCUGAGUGCUGCAUUUCAAACUGGAAGUCUAGAGUGCAGGAGAGGAGAAGGGAAUUCCUAGUGUAGCGGUGAAAUGCGUAGAGAUUAGGAAGAACACCAGUGGCGAAGGCGCUUCUCUGGACUGUAACUGACGCUGAGGCUCGAAAGCAUGGGUAGCGAACA